RNAcentral lists this ribosomal RNA (606 nucleotides) under Cubocephalus anatorius. RNAcentral's name for it is "eukaryotic LSU rRNA". It matches the Rfam family "Eukaryotic large subunit ribosomal RNA", at positions 568 to 782 of the family's 3401-position model. The record is from RNAcentral. Lineage: Eukaryota; Metazoa; Arthropoda; Insecta; Hymenoptera; Ichneumonidae.
AAAGAUCGAAUGRWGAGAUUCAUCGUCAGCGAUUUUGGUACGUGUGCGGUUCGCGAUGCCGGAGACUUCGGUCUCAUGGUACGCGUCCGUAUGUUUUUUAUUGCCAUUAUCGUCGGCGUGCACUUCUCCCCUAGUAGGACGUCGCGACCCGUUGGGUGUCGGUCUACGGCCCGGUGUGUAGCCUGUCACGUGUGCGCUUCACGGCGUUACGCGGUACAGACACCCGGUUGCCCGACCGGCUGCCCGGCGGUACUCGCACGGUAUCUGGCCGCAAAUAUUCGAACUGCGUCCGGCCCGUCGCAAGCGAGGCAAGUGUUUCCCGGCUGUACGGAUCUAAUGCCGUCACCGGGCCUUGCCAGCUGUUGGCUGACGGUGUCCUAGGACAGGCUAACCAAAAUUAUGAUACCGGUCGGCGACGCUACUGCUUUGGGUACUUUCAGGACCCGUCUUGAAACACGGACCAAGGAGUCUAACAUGUGCGCGAGUCAUUGGGAACUAUUAAGCCUAAAGGCGCAAUGAAAGUGAAGGUCGGCCUUGCGCCGACCGAGGGAGGAUGGGCCGCGUCACGAUGCGGUCCCGCACUCMCGGGGCGUCUCGUUCUCAUUG